Carya illinoinensis is the source of this 1657-nucleotide long non-coding RNA. RefSeq lists it as uncharacterized. Lineage: Eukaryota; Viridiplantae; Streptophyta; Magnoliopsida; Fagales; Juglandaceae. The transcript is spliced from 2 exons. The record is from RefSeq and is a predicted model, not a curated record.
UCUCAGUCAGUCUCGCGCCUCUCUCUGUCUCUGUCUUCUUCUCUCUCGCAGCGCACUAUCUAUCUCUCUCUUUGUAUCUCUGUGCCUCUCGCUCGCUUUGCAAGGCUUGGUGUCUCUCUCACUCUCUCUCUUUACUGGUUGGAUUCGGAAUAUUUCUCUCCAAGGUUUGGUGGUCUCUGAUCGAAGGUAAGUAACGAUGCAGCAAUGCCCCCAUGUACACGAUUUUUGCAUGAGUCUUGGUUUUAUCUGAUUUUGUGGCUUGAUUUUAUGAGGUGCUAGGGUUAGGGUUUGAUGGUGGUGCUUGGAUUUGAAAAUUUUUGGGUCGAUCUUGGUUUUGGUUUGGUAUCUGCGGUGGGUGUUCUUUUUGUGGUGGGUUUCCAUGACACUUUCUCGACGUGUUUACAGCUAAUUACCUUUCUUUCGUGGAAGAAAAUACUUCCAUGUAACCAAAAGCUUAAACUUGAAACCCGCUUGUCGACUAAUACACAAUGGGUGAAAAACCUAUGUUCGAAUGAGGGACUAUGCUUGUAUUUACCAAAAAUUAGAUCCCCGAUUGGCUUGAUGAUCAGAAGCUGCAUAGACAUCCAAUACUUUAAUUGGAUGGAGUUAGCAAUUUCUAAUUCUUCACUAGUAUAGGGAAUAAUGAGCGAAGUUAUUGUUGACAUCUUUAUCAUUUUAGGAGUGUGUUCAAAAAAAUUGAAAAUUCUCAGUGAAAAUACUUUUAGAGUUCCAGAAAACACAUUCAUUGAUGAAACACUUCUUUUUGCUUGUCUGCCAAAUCAAAAUGCUUAUCAUUCGUGAUAAAUUUUUUAUUUUUUUUUAUUUAAUUUUUCAUGAGCAGUAUGGGGGUUUUCUUGCUUAGUGCAGGGGCUAAAGGUAAAUGAUUCCUUUGACUUGUAUUGUAGUGUGUUGAGUUCUGUUUCAUGAUUUUACUUGUGGUAAAUUAUGCUUUAUUUAUUGUCAUUUUGUAAGUGUCUUCAUGCACCAUCUAGGUGAAAUUAAGAUUAGUAAAGGCUCUGCACUCCAUCUUAGAAAAGGACUAUAACCCAGGUUGUGGCACAUGAACUGACAAAAAUGAAAGCUAUAGAACUUGGACUUAUGGUCCUCUGUGGAGAAAACCUUUUGUGUUUGUACUUUGGUGUGGGGUUGUUUCCAUGAUGCAGGACAGGCCAUUUGGGCAGGGCAAGCCAGGUUAGAAUGAUGCUGGAAAAUGGUAAAAGUCUCAACUUAUUACGAGAUUAUGUAUGGUAAAAGUCUCGGGGCAUGUAAUAACAUCUCUCUUUGGUUUAUGUACACAUUGAAGGUUCAUAAGAGCAGCUUAAAUUGAAGCCAUUGCUUUUCAACAAACUAGCUAGGCAUCAUCUGAUCAAAUUUUUCUUCAUUGAGUACCCAAUGUAUGGCAAAGAUGACCUGCAAACCAUUCUACAGAUGGGUUUAGGUCAAAAUACCAACGGUAUCCAAUGGAAGUGUUUAUUUUUUAUUUUCUUUCAGAACCAGUAAUGUAAGACAGCAAUUAAGUGAUAAUUAGAGAGGAAGAGUUUUCUAGCUACCAGCUUUAAUUAUCCAUCUUGUUGGAUAUUUUGUCUUAUGUAUUAAGAACAAGACAUAAAUUCUUCAAGAAAUUUGGAAAUUCUCUUUAUAAAAUGCAUUUGGGUCU